This 407-nucleotide ribosomal RNA is filed under the name bacterium. RNAcentral's name for it is "partial 16S ribosomal RNA". It matches the Rfam family "Bacterial small subunit ribosomal RNA", at positions 355 to 776 of the family's 1533-position model. The record is from RNAcentral.
UGGGGAAUAUUGGACAAUGGACCGAGAGUCUGAUCCAGCAAUUCUGUGUGCACGAUGACGUUUUUCGGAAUGUAAAGUGCUUUCAGCUGGGAAGAAAAAAAUGACGGUACCAACAGAAGAAGUGACGGCUAAAUACGUGCCAGCAGCCGCGGUAAUACGUAUGUCACGAGCGUUAUCCGGAUUUAUUGGGCGUAAAGCGCGUCUAGGUGGUUAUGUAAGUCUGAUGUGAAAAUGCAGGGCUCAACUCUGUAUUGCGUUGGAAACUGUAUAACUAGAGUACUGGAGAGGUAAGCGGAACUACAAGUGUAGAGGUGAAAUUCGUAGAUAUUUGUAGGAAUGCCGAUGGGGAAGCCAGCUUACUGGACAGAUACUGACGCUAAAGCGCGAAAGCGUGGGUAACAAACAGG